Hippocampus zosterae (dwarf seahorse) is the source of this 462-nucleotide long non-coding RNA. RefSeq lists it as uncharacterized. The transcript is spliced from 3 exons. The record is from RefSeq and is a predicted model, not a curated record. NCBI's taxonomy places the organism in Eukaryota, Metazoa, Chordata, Actinopteri, Syngnathiformes, Syngnathidae.
UAUGCAGUGUUCCACUGGUUAGCACGUCCGCCUCACAGUGCAGAGGUGCAGGGUUAGAUUUCGGCUUCGGCCUUCCUGAGUGGAGUUUGCAUGUUCUCCCCAUGCCUGCGUGGAUUUUCUACGGGUACUCCAUCUUCCUCCCACACUCCAGAAACAUGUGUGGCAGGUUAAUGGAACAGUCGAAAUUGUCCCAAGGCUCGGAUGGUUGUUUGUCAAUUGAAUGGCUAAAUUUUCAGGGUGUCCCCCGCCUACUGCCUGAAGACAGCUGGGUUGGGUUCCGGCACUCCCGCGACCCUCGAGAGGAUAAGCGGAUUGGAAAAUGGUUGAAUGGACUUUAAAGAACAGGAUUGCGGGAAUGGGCACAAGUCUUACAACUUUUCUCUCUGUGCACAAUAUGACAAAAUCUUUAAAUCAUGCCAUGUAAACAAGACAGAAUUUUACGUAAAUAAAAAUAGGUAAAAA